UGUACCCUGUAGCCUCGUUCUGGCUGCCGGGAGAAUAAGGCGAAUUGAUAAUAUACUUGCUUUCUCAGGUAAAGAAACAGCAAUACCUUUCAGAUAAUAUGUUAGACAUGUCCAGAAGGUUGAUGGACAAGGUUCUCUACAGUACAAUCUGGAUGUUGCCGCAGGCAUCUCACGAAAUGAAACUUCAAGAUUCACAAAGAUUCAAAAGGUCUACAAGGCCAUCUAUAAGGAUCUAGAGAAGGAAUUUGGUUCAGAGGAGCUCAUUUUGAAAGCUAUGGAGUCUCAGGAUCCAUUCUUUGAGGAGACUGUGAUCACAUGAUAAACAAGUGAGCUAAGGUGAACAAGGACUCUAGUUGUGAUAGUUUUGUCUCCUGCACCAAAUGAGGAUGAGAUCGAGGGCCAAAGCGAUUCCACUUUCUCCAGCCCAGAGGAGAAGACGCAGCCUAGGAAGGGUUUACUUUGUCUCCUUGGAAAGAUGCCCAAGAUUAAUCAGAAGAAAUUCAAGAUUGGUGUCAAGAAAGACAGCCUCAAAUAUGCCUCCAGCAAAGAUGAAACUAUUGAAACGGCCUGUUCUAAUACAGUGUCUGGCUUUUCCUCUGAAGACAAGCCUCGUAGAUGCAACCUACGAACCCAGAAUGAUCUGUGCACUGCCCAAGGAGUCAUCUUCAUCUUAAAGACCUCCUAAAUAUUUUCAAAACAUACACCUUCUAAUAAACUUAUGAGCAUUAUGUCAGUCAGAUGUACUGUCAGAUUACUUGAUGUGGCUGAAUCUGACAUACUGUAUAUAGUUACACAAACACAAUCUGUUA
Long non-coding RNA from Alosa alosa (allis shad), 809 nucleotides. RefSeq lists it as uncharacterized. The transcript has 3 exons. Lineage: Eukaryota; Metazoa; Chordata; Actinopteri; Clupeiformes; Clupeidae. The record is from RefSeq and is a predicted model, not a curated record.